UCCUACUUAUAUAUGUGGGCCUAAUAUUUUAUCACUUAUGUCCGUCAUUUCUAUAAGCUCAAACCUACCCAAUCUACCCUACACUAUAAAUACUCCUUUAAUCCCCAAAAAUUUGCCACACAAAGAUCAAAGGGGUAAGUUUUUUUUUCUAUUCUUUCUUUUUUUUUUUUCCUUCCUUUAUUUUUUUUUCUCCUUGCGUGAGAUUGCAGCCCGCAUUAUUGCGGUACGGCUGCUGCCGUGUGGCCCGGCCACUUUACCAGCGCUACGAACCCACCAUCGGCGACCUCCUUCCACCUACGAUGUUGCCGCUGCUACCAACCUUGAUAUAUACUUGGUUCGAGAAGUGUUGUAGUGUAUUCGGCUACUUUAAGGGCUUAUUUGAGUAGGGACAGUUAAAGAGAAGCUUUUCAGGUGUUGCAGCAUAUUCAUGUUGGGGGUUUGAGCGAAGAGCGAACCUUACUUUAGUUUUAUCUUGAAUUUGUGUUUACAAUUGAUUAUUGGUUUAUUAUUGCUAUUUAAUGAGACUAACACAUUACUUUUAAAUAUUCGUUUGGUUUUGAAAAGCCCUACAAUGGUUCCAAAUUGUAGAUUUGACUUUGUUUGACUUUACUUUUGUUUGGUGGACUGUUGGACUUUGACUUUGUUUUGUAAGGUUUUGAAAAUGUCUUCAGCUGUGUAUCUUUGAUAACUGCCUUAGUCGUUAUCACGGUGGCGGUAAUGCCUUGGUCAUUUCCUAUUUUGUAUUUAAAAGGGUAAAACAUGUAUUUCAAAAGGGGAGUAAUUUCCAGGGUGUUACAUAUAGCUCCUUGUUGCUCCAGCGUUUCUUGGCCGUUUGAUGUGAUCAAGUCAAAUAUCGUGCCACAUCAUCACUUAUCAUCCAAUACCAUCAUAGCUUAUGUACUUAUUUAAUUAUUUUAUUUAGAAUGAAGCAAAAAUGUAAAUAUUUGAGAGGAUUUUAUUUUUCCUCUUAUGCUUUAUUUUAUGCUUGAAUGUUCUUUUAGUUUUCUUCUCCAUUGUUGAACCCUAGAUUAUUGUUCUUCAUUAA
Long non-coding RNA from Chenopodium quinoa (quinoa), 1045 nucleotides. RefSeq lists it as uncharacterized. The transcript has 3 exons. The record is from RefSeq and is a predicted model, not a curated record. Lineage: Eukaryota; Viridiplantae; Streptophyta; Magnoliopsida; Caryophyllales; Amaranthaceae.